Molecule: unclassified non-coding RNA, 384 nt
Filed under: soil metagenome
Description: partial contains 5.8S ribosomal RNA, internal transcribed spacer 2, and large subunit ribosomal RNA
Rfam family: 5.8S ribosomal RNA (bases 5-119)
Source: RNAcentral
GAUGAGAACGUAGCGAAAUGCGAUAAGUAAUGUGAAUUGCAGAAUUCAGUGAAUCAUCGAAUCUUUGAACGCACCUUGCACCCUUUGGCAUUCCGAAGGGUAUGCUCGUUUGAGUGUCAUUGUACUCUCACACUCCCAAUUGCUUUGGAUUGGGAGCGGUGGACUUGGGUGUUGCUGCUUGACUGAGGCUCACCUGAAAUAUGUUAGUGCACCUCUUGAUUGGACAUAGUACGGCGUGAUAAGUGUCUUCGCCGGCUCCUCGCAAAGAGGGUGGCCGAUCGGGAGCUCUGUUGCUUCAAACUGUCUUCGGACAAUCUUCUGGCGACUUGACCUCAAAUCGAGUAGGACUACCCGCUGAACUUAAGCAUAUCAAUAAGCGGAGGA